This 460-nucleotide ribosomal RNA is filed under the name uncultured bacterium. Its description in RNAcentral is "partial 16S ribosomal RNA". It matches the Rfam family "Bacterial small subunit ribosomal RNA", at positions 338 to 795 of the family's 1533-position model. The record is from RNAcentral.
CCUACGGGAGGCAGCAGUGAGGAAUAUUGGUCAAUGGACGAGAGUCUGAACCAGCCAAGUAGCGUGAAGGAUGACUGCCCUAUGGGUUGUAAACUUCUUUUAUAUGGGAAUAAAAUGUUCCACGUGUGGGAUUUUGUAUGUACCAUAUGAAUAAGGAUCGGCUAACUCCGUGCCAGCAGCCGCGGUAAUACGGAGGAUCCGAGCGUUAUCCGGAUUUAUUGGGUUUAAAGGGAGCGUAGGUGGAUUGUUAAGUCAGUUGUGAAAGUUUGCGGCUCAACCAUAAAAUUGCAGUUGAAACUGGCAGUCUUGAGUACAGUAGAGGUGGGCGGAAUUCGUGGUGUAGCGGUGAAAUGCUUAGAUAUCACGAAGAACUCCGAUUGCGAAGGCAGUUCACUGGACUGCAACUGACACUGAGACUCGAAAGUGUGGAUAUCAAACAGGAUUAGAUACCCUAGUAGUC